GACAAAGUCAACAAAUAUUUACAAGCAGCGGAAUAGUUUUUGAAAUAAAAAUCCAAAGUAUUCAAACAUCAAAAUACAUUGGGGCUAUGAGGCCUAUCAGACAUAGCUAAUACCCCUGGGGUAUUCUCGGCAGACCUGUACAAAAGCACUGCCCCAAGAAUUUUAACUUUCCCCACAUCACAUUAAAAAGUGGAACAUGGACCCAUCAAAAGAAAAGACAUCAAACAGUUUAAUACAAUCUUCCAAAAUGAAAUAAAUACAAUCACAAAAGAAAGACAUCUAGUCCUUAUACAACCACCUAAUCUGAUCAUGCUACAAACACUAUACAAUUCGGGUGAUCUCCACGCGCCCUGCAAGAUCCUCCUGACAUAGCUUCGGUCAAGUAUGUCUAACUACAUGCCUGUCUCCAAAGUACUAACCGGUAGGAUGAUCCUGGUUCUCAUCUGAGGGCAAAGCCCAAAUUUCCACAAUAAUUGUAAAGGGUCACCAACCGAAAUUAACAAAUAACACUUAGCAAAAUUCUUAUAUUUUCAAAUGCUCAAAAGAACCUUUCGUCUUAGCAUACUCCUCAAAAGGGUUUUCAUAUGUCCAAAAAUGCAUAAACAAUGUUGAAAAAUAAAGUUUUGACAAACUGCACUGUCAUAGCCGAAUCCAACUGAGAAAAUGCAGAUUUUCAAUUCUAAAAUGGCUCUAAAUCAAUCAACACUUCAAACAUUAAUGUUAUCAAUUAUGAACACAUAAUUAACACCAAAUUAAUCUCCACAAAUUCACACCUCAAUCACACAUCGAAUAUUCAUUAAAUCAAUUAUGAACACAUAAUUACAUCAAAACUUAAUCAACCCGCGUGCCAAACACUCUAAUGCAAUUCGUAUAUGCCAAAAUGCAUUAUUCCGGAAUUCCAAACCAAAACCCUCCCCGAAUAGCGUAAAUCAUAAUUGUACAGCCUCUCACAAACCAAUACUAAUUACCAAAGUGCAAUCUCUCACAAAUUAGCACGAUUUACUAGCGUGCAGUCGCUCACAGACUAGCACGACAUACAAUAGUGCACUCGCUCACAGACCAGCACAAUUUACUAGCGUGCAAUCUCUCACUGACCAGCACGACAUACAAGAGUGCAGUCGCUCACAGACCAGCACGAUUUUCUAGAGUGCAAUCGCUCACAGAUCAGCACAUUCUAGAGUGCAAUCUCUCACAGACCAGCAUGAUUUACUAGCGUCCAGUCGCUCAAAGACCAGCACGAAAUACAAGAGUGCAGUCUCUCACAUACCAGCACGACUUUCUAGAGUGCAAUCGCUCACAGAUCAGCACAUUAUAGAGUGCAAUCUCUCACAGAUCAGCACGAUGCGACAAUCCCUGCAAGGAUAAGAUGAACCAACAAUUCACAUGGCAUCAUCUCGUGGCCCAUCACAGUCACCACUAUCACCAUGGCCCCAUCGCGGUUACCAUGUACUAUGAAAUGCAUGAGCAUACUCUUACUCUUUUCACCACAAUCAUUAAGUAAAUGCAGCUAUUAAAAGAUUCCCCCUUUUUUAAUACUCAUUUAACACUAAUGAUUUUUCAAAUUCACCACAGAGCAUACUCAAACACAUCAAAUUCUAUCUCCACGAUUUCACACCAAAUUUACUCAUAAAUCGCCCAUUUUCGAAACUCCACAUUUUCACACAUAACCCACCAAAUUCAUUUUCCAUAAACCCACAUAAAUCACAUCUCCAAAAAUUCAUAAUAAUCAUUAUGAACACAUAAAUCACACCAACCGUAAAUCACCACAACCCACACGUCAAACACACAUCAAACAUUCAUAAUAUCAAUUAUGAACACAUAAUCAAAUUAAAUUUAAUUCUACCCAAAUUCAACAUAAAUCACCCAUAUUAAUCUCCAAAUUUUUCAAACAUUAACCACCAAAUUUAUUCUCCACAAAUUUCACCCAUAAAUCACCAAAUUCAAAACUCCACAUCUUCAAACAUUAAUCAUCAAAUUCAAUCUCCAAAAUUUUCAACUAUAAAUCACCACAACAACAUUAAUAUAUCAGAGUUCUCCCCACCGCUAACUCGGUGCCAAUGGUCUCGAUUCCUUUUCGAGACUCAAUGAGCUAACUACAUAAACAUAAAUAUUUAUAACAAUUUGUUCACAAUAAAAUUAAUCCAAACACAACAAAAUUCCCAAAAUUAAAAUUAAUCUCCAAUUUUUCAAACAUUAACCACCAAAUUUAUUCUCCACAAAUUUCACCCAUAAAUCACCAAAUUCAAAACUCCACAUCUUCAAACAUUAAUCAUCAAAUUCAAUCUCCAAAAUUUUCAACCAUAAAUCAUAUUAUUCAAUCUCCAAAAUUUUCAACCAUAAAUCACCACAACAACAUUAAUAUAUAAGAGUUCUCCCCACCGCUAACUCGGUGCCAACGGUCUCGAUUCCUUUUCGAGACUCAAGGAGCUAACUACAUAAUCAUAAAUAUUUAUAACAAUUUGUUAACAAUAAAAGUAAUCCAAACACAACAAAAUUCCCAAAAUUAAAUCUUUCUCACACACCAAACUUUUAAAACCAAAUAAUCUAUAUUAUUUAGUUAAAACUAAAUAAAACAAAUAUUGUUCAAAUUUCACAUACACACACGACUAUUAAAGCACCAAAAAAUUUGAGUUAAUAAAAUACUCUAAUAUUUUUUUCUUUUUAAACUCAGUUCAAGAGUAAUUAAAAUAGUAACAUUUUAAACUCUAACCCUUUUUAAUUUCAAUCUAUCUUUUUACUCAAACUCUUUAACUUAGUUAAAAUUUGAAUUUUUUUUUUCACAACUUUAACAACUCUAAAUUUUUUGUAAAAUUUCAGCUUCAAUUCAAACUCAUUUAUUUGAAAACAACUCAUUACGCAACUCAAACACAUAAAAUUUAAUUAAUUCAAUAUCCACAAAAUCCACACCUAAAUCACAUCUCAAAAAUUCAUAAUAUUAAUUAUGAACAUACAAUUUACACCCAACAUUAAUCACUACAAAACACACCUCAAAACAAAUCAAAUUCAAAUUCAACUAAUUCUCACAUAAACAAAUUAAAUUCAUUUUCCAUAAUUUUACACCUCAAAUACAUCAAAUUUCUAUUCCACGAAAUCAAAAAUAAUGUCCUAAAUGAAAACUAAAAGUUUGUAAGGAACUCUUACCUCCGUUGUAGCUUUAACAAGCGAUUAAGUCACCGCAAUUAAUUCCGGUAAAAUUUAAGUUCGUGACGUCGCGUCGAAAACUAGCUCACUAGCACCGCAGCGUGGCAAUGAGCAACUUUCUCUUUUGUCACUUCUCGAAACGAAGUUUAGAUCUAGGAGAAAAGUAAAGGUUUUUAGUGUUUGUGGGUUUUGAAAACAAAGAAAAUUUAGAAACAUAGAAGGAGGAAGAAAAGAAAUCUCGCGAGGCUGAGAAAC
RNAcentral lists this long non-coding RNA (3396 nucleotides) under Cicer arietinum (chickpea). RNAcentral describes it as "long non-coding RNA (CARI_LNC003436)". Lineage: Eukaryota; Viridiplantae; Streptophyta; Magnoliopsida; Fabales; Fabaceae. The record is from RNAcentral.